Molecule: long non-coding RNA, 206 nt
Filed under: Theobroma cacao (cacao)
Lineage: Eukaryota; Viridiplantae; Streptophyta; Magnoliopsida; Malvales; Malvaceae
Description: long non-coding RNA (TCAC_LNC001195)
Source: RNAcentral
UGCCGUCCCCCCGUGAGCCUUCCAUCUCUAGUCCAUCUCCAAUCCAUCUUCAGGCGAAUUUGUCCCCUGUGAGCCGUCCAUCUCCACUCUUCGCUUUCUCUUCUCCAGUCCAUCUCCAGUCCAUCUUCGAAGGCUCUCUCUCAAACUCUCACACAUACGCACCACAGUGAUCGUCGAUUUCAAAGGCUCUCUCUCUCAGAUUUCCA